This is an RNA transcript of Juglans microcarpa x Juglans regia, 1480 nucleotides long. It is a transcript of the gene named protein BCCIP homolog, with no coding region annotated. NCBI's taxonomy places the organism in Eukaryota, Viridiplantae, Streptophyta, Magnoliopsida, Fagales, Juglandaceae. The transcript is spliced from 10 exons. The record is from RefSeq and is a predicted model, not a curated record.
CCCGCCCCCGCGCGCGGCCUCAGGCCCCCUCACCCAGUCACUCUCGUCUCCCUUCGCCUUCAGCCUUCAAAAAACCCUAGCCUCCACAGGACCACUCUCGUCUCUCUCUCCCUGCGACAGUCCCCCCGACUCUCGUCUCUCUCUCGCCGAGUCGCCGCGCGACGUCACCCUGACCCAGUAACUACCCCCGUAGGCCGCGGUCGACACGCUUGUUGCCAAAUCCUGCUUCGAGCCUCAAUCUUAAACUCAAACUUCGGUGAAUUUGAUUUUGAUUUCUCCUCAGUUUUAAUUAACACAUUAACAAGAUGCCCCGAAGGCCGACAAGGCAUUGCCGCUCAUUGAAUCCUCAGCCUCUGACCUUCUCCUCUUUUUCCCGUUCUGUUGCUCAAGUAGCCUCAUCUUUCAAGGCCAAGCGGCGAACGCAACACUCCAAACAACACAGAGAAUCUCCCCCAAAAUCUGCAGUUAAUGGGUUUUCGAAUAAUACUUUGGAAGAGAGGAGAGAACAGUCUGUGUCUUCUGAUGAAGAAGAGUUUGAAGGUGUGGUUCAAGCCGAUUUUGCAUUCUUCGAUCCCAAAGCCAACGACUUUCAUGGAGUGAAGACUUUGUUGCAAACCUACCUUGAUGAUAAGCAGUGGGAUUUGAGUGGUUUUGUUGACUUAAUAUUGGGACAGACCACGGUGGGGACUGUAGUUAAAAUAGAGGAUGACGAAGAUGAAGGAGUUUUUUCUCUCGUGACUGCACUAAACAUGCGAAGAUACAAGGACCAUAAAUGUAUCAUGGAACUCAAGGAGUUCCUCCUUAAAGCAUGCCAGGAGAAGGAUGUACAAGAUAACUUGAUAUCACUCUUGGGAGAGCAAGCACAGUAUGUGGGUCUCAUGGUCUCUCAGCGCGUGGUGAAUCUUCCUCCCCAGCUAUUGCCACCUCUUUAUGAUGCCCUCUUUGAUGAAGUCUCGUGGGCUACAGAAGAUGAGCCCACGGAAGAGCUCAAGAAUUCCUUCAGCUUUAAGUUUUAUAUACUUGUCAGUAAAAUUUACAAGAACAAGAAUGCAAAUAAGAAAAAGAAGCUGAGCAGUGACAGUGAUGAGGCAAUAAUAUAUACAAAGCCAGAAGAUGAAAUUUUCCACAGGCUUAGCUUGUGGUCCUUCUGCUUUCCUUUGCAGACUCAGCAGCCUGCAACUCUUGAGCUCAGAAAUUAUCGAUUUAUGGGAUUAGUCAUGGCUAUUGAAGCUGACAAAAUUUCUACAUUUCGCCAAGAGUUGAAAUCCUUAAUAAAUGAAUCUUGAGGCCAGCAAAAUAUGUACAAUAUUUCUUUUAGUUUAAAAGCUUUCAUUUACCUCUUUCCAUUUUUCUUGUAGCAUGGGGGAUUUUGUUCCAGGAUUUUCACCCAAUUUUGUAGUCACGGCAAGUAGACCUGAUUUACAACACAUUGUGAGAACUGAGAAUUCUUUUCUUGAUCCCCUUGGCUUUUGAACUUCAA